GUGCAGCAGGCGAGAAACCUCCGCAAUACACGAAAGUGUGACGGGCCAUCCCGAGUGCCGUCCGCUGAGGACGGCUUUUCCCCAGUGUACAUAGCUGGGGGAAUAAGGAGAGGGCAAGCCUGGUGUCAGCCGCCGCGGUAAUACCAGCUCUCCGAGUGGUGGGGACGCUUAUUGGGCCUAAAGCAUCCGUAGCCGGCUAGGCAAGUCCUCCGUUAAAUCCAACGAUUCAAUCGUUGGGCUGCGGGGGAUACUGUCCAGCUUGGGGGCGGGAGAGGCCGACGGUAUUCCCCGGGGUAGGGGUGAAAUCCUAUAAUCCCGGGAGGACCACCAGUGGCGAAGGCUGUCGGCUAGAACGCGCCCGACGGUGAGGGAUGAAAGCUGGGGGGAGCGAACCGGGAUUAGAUA
RNAcentral lists this ribosomal RNA (405 nucleotides) under uncultured microorganism. RNAcentral describes it as "bacterial SSU rRNA". It matches the Rfam family "Archaeal small subunit ribosomal RNA", at positions 330 to 735 of the family's 1478-position model. The record is from RNAcentral.